ACGUAGGUGGCGAGCGUUGUCCGGAAUUACUGGGUGUAAAGGGUGCGUAGGCGGAUUUGCAAGUCAGGUGUGAAAACUAUCGGCUUAACCGGUAGCCUGCACUUGAAACUGUAAGUCUUGAGUGGGGAAGAGGUAAGCGGAAUUCCUAGUGUAGCAGUGAAAUGCGUAGAUAUGAGGAGGAACACCAGUGGCGAAGGCGGCUUACCGGGCCGGAUCUGACAGUGAGGAACGAAAGCUUGGGGAGCAUACAG
This 251-nucleotide ribosomal RNA is filed under the name uncultured prokaryote. RNAcentral's name for it is "partial 16S rRNA". It matches the Rfam family "Bacterial small subunit ribosomal RNA", at positions 525 to 775 of the family's 1533-position model. The record is from RNAcentral.